GAUGCAGCUUAGUGGUAGAGCCCUUGCCUAGCAUGCACAAGGCCCUGGGUUUGAGCCCCAGGAACG
This 66-nucleotide transfer RNA is filed under the name Marmota monax (woodchuck). Its description in RNAcentral is "tRNA.Ala". Lineage: Eukaryota; Metazoa; Chordata; Mammalia; Rodentia; Sciuridae. The record is from RNAcentral.